AACGAACGCUGGCGGCAUGCCUAACACAUGCAAGUCGAACGAGACCUUCGGGUCUAGUGGCGCACGGGUGCGUAACGCGUGGGAACCUGCCCUUAGGUUCGGAAUACCUCCCCGACAGGGGUGCUAAUACCGGAUAAUGUCUUCGGACCAAAGAUUUAUCGCCUUUGGAUGGGCCCGCGUUGGAUUAGCUAGUUGGUAGGGUAAAAGCCUACCAAGGCGACGAUCCAUAGCUGGUCUGAGAGGAUGAUCAGCCACACUGGGACUGAGACACGGCCCAGACUCCUACGGGAGGCAGCAGUGGGGAAUAUUAGACAAUGGGCGAAAGCCUGAUCCAGCAAUGCAGCGUGAGUGAUGAAGGCCUUAGGGUUGUAAAGCUCUUUUAACCGGGAUGAUAAUGACAGUACCGGGAGAAUAAGCUCCGGCUAACUCCGUG
RNAcentral lists this ribosomal RNA (433 nucleotides) under uncultured bacterium. Its description in RNAcentral is "partial 16S ribosomal RNA". It matches the Rfam family "Bacterial small subunit ribosomal RNA", at positions 29 to 507 of the family's 1533-position model. The record is from RNAcentral.